GUAAAAGUCGAGGCAAAGCGCUUUUCCUCCUGUGAAGAGCUAAAUAUCUUCCUGACUGAGAAAUACUCAUCCUGACCUACAGGGCUGCUCACAGACCUCUGGAGAAGGGAACCUGCUCCUUUGCCAGGACUCAGCUGGUGCCACACUUGAACAGACUCUUUCAGGCAAGUAUUUCAGGCUUCGGUAUCAUGCCAGCUGACUUCAGCUAGAGGAAGUGGCUGAAAGCAAUGUUAUGAUGUACCUCAACAUCUUCAGCAAGAUACAGCGAGACCGGAAGACAUCCAACCUGAAGUUGGGUAGAACAUAGUGAAAGAAAAUAAAUCCCUA
Molecule: long non-coding RNA, 327 nt
Filed under: Columba livia (rock pigeon)
Lineage: Eukaryota; Metazoa; Chordata; Aves; Columbiformes; Columbidae
Description: partial uncharacterized LOC102092664
Source: RNAcentral